CUUGGGAGGGUGUUUUUAGAGGCACGUGGCCGGGGCUGCAUGUGUGGGAAAAAAUGCAACCACUAUUCAGAGUCCGUCCGUUCAGAGUCAGGCUGCCUUAUGUGGGCUGGUCCCAGUAUUUUCCAUGGCCCAUGAGGAUAGGUAGCUAGAGUCCCUGGGGCCAUACACGUCCCCAUUAAUGAGACAGUGGGGCUAGAGCAAUGCUCAAAAGGUGUGCAAGUCUCCUCAGUGCACUCCCUCCACCUCCCAGGUGCGCUCGCUCAUGCACACACGUGCUCUUUCCAUACGCAUGUGCUCUUGCAUGCACACACAUGCUCUCACAUUGCUCCAGUGGGAGACCUUCACUUCAAUCCUCUGUGUCCCAGCGUCCCCGGGAAGGCAGUGGCCUGUGUGACGCUAGUGAAAUAAUGUCAAGAGAGCGAAGGUUGAGCACUGGCGAUGGGAAGGCCGUUUUGGUGCAGCUGUUUGUAGCUCUUUAGUUUUUGUUUGUUUUUUUUCUUGAGGCCUAUUUAACUCCAACUCCUGAUGAACGCUUUGGAGAAAGCUCAUCUUUGUUAAAGAUUUAGCACCCCAGCCCCUUACGUAAAGGUGUGCAAGCUGACAGUGUAUAUCCGCCCAGAAGACCUCCAGCAAGCCAGGGAAGGCAAGAUUUGACAUUCCUGAUAUUUCUAAGUUUUCCCCAUCUUGGAAACCAGUGAUAUACCUGAGACACAUCAAUGAGAUUAUUAUCUUCUGGACAGACGGCUUAACCCCCCUCAUAGAUUUCUACCACAACUUCAACAACCACCACCUGUCCAUUAAACUCUCUUUGGCUGGAACACUACCACACUAACCUCAACUUCCUGGACACCACAGUCAGCUUCAGCAGUGGAAUCCUACAGACAACUAUAUACAAGAAACCCCCCAGAUCACCACACCUACCUUCAUAGAUCCCGUGACCACCCCAAACCAAGAAAUGUGUUAUCUACAGCCAGGCACUCCAAUACCACAGAAUAUGCUCUGAGGCAAAAGUCCAGGAUAUACACUUAAAACCUCUUUCACCAAACAAGACAUUCCACCA
This is a long non-coding RNA of Chrysemys picta bellii (western painted turtle), 1060 nucleotides long. RefSeq lists it as uncharacterized. The record is from RefSeq and is a predicted model, not a curated record. NCBI's taxonomy places the organism in Eukaryota, Metazoa, Chordata, Testudines, Emydidae.